Molecule: ribosomal RNA, 254 nt
Filed under: uncultured bacterium
Lineage: Bacteria
Description: partial 16S ribosomal RNA
Rfam family: Bacterial small subunit ribosomal RNA
Source: RNAcentral
UACGUAGGGAGCAAGCGUUGUUCGGAUUUACUGGGCGUAAAGGGCGCGUAGGCGGCAGAUUAAGUCAGCUGUGAAAUCUCCGAGCUUAACUCGGAACUGUCAGCUGAUACUGUUUUGCUAGAGUGCGGAAGGGGCAAUCGGAAUUCUUGGUGUAGCGGUGAAAUGCGUAGAUAUCAAGAGGAACACCUGAGGUGAAGACGGGUUGCUGGGCCGACACUGACGCUGAGUGCGCGAAAGCGUGGGGAGCGAACAGG